CCCUUAGAUGUUCUGGGCCGCACGCGCGCUACACUGACGAAUGCAACGAGCUUAUAACCUUGGCCGAAAGGUCUGGGUAAUCUCCAAAUUUCGUCGUGAUGGGGAUAGAUUAUUGCAAUUAUUAAUCUUCAACGAGGAAUGCCUAGUAAGCGCAAGUCAUCAGCUUGCGUUGAUUACGUCCCUGCCCUUUGUACACACCGCCCGUCGCCCCUACCGAUUGAAUGGUCCGGUGAAGCGUUCGGACCGUGGCCUUUGGACGGUUCGCCGUCUGUUGGCUGCGGGAAGUUCGUUAAACCUUAUCAUUUAGAGGAAGGAGAANUCGUAACA
RNAcentral lists this ribosomal RNA (327 nucleotides) under uncultured eukaryote. Its description in RNAcentral is "partial 18S ribosomal RNA". It matches the Rfam family "Eukaryotic small subunit ribosomal RNA", at positions 1470 to 1796 of the family's 1831-position model. The record is from RNAcentral.